UUGAAGCCAAAGAAAGGUAUGCCUGAACUGGGAUGAAUGAACAAAAACGCGCCUUUGCCCCAGGGAAAUAAGGCCCAAUACGGAGUCAAUCAAAAUGGUGUUUACUGAUCCUUGGGGUCAACUUAGUAUGGUGAGCACCGAUUUUGCACAUCAACAUGAAACGAAAAGCAUAGUAAGCUGAAAUAAAAUGUUCCUUGUGAACAGAAAAGAACACUUCUCAUCCAUAAAGUCUCAUCACGCGUUCAUCUUCCUCUUCGUCUUUUCGAAACGUCAUGCACCAAUUAAAGAAACCACAACUCCACUUCAUCGAUUCGGGACUCAACAUCAUCAUCAACGUUCAGAUCGGUUGUAUGCGUGUGGAAACAAAGAAAAACGGAAUUGACAUCAGGAAACUCACCAGAUUUUGAAGCUUUGAUUGCAAACAUGUAUCAAAACUUUCUCCUUCUUUGAUUUCGAUUCACACUUCUUCUUCUUAUUAUUCACGUGCGAGCAUUAGAUACGAAUGAGAGGGAAGCGAAGUACGCUGUGAAUUCGCGUCGCCGUGAGUUUGUGGUGUGAGAGUUGCGAAUUACUCAAUCGAUUGCAUCAUGAUGAUUGCGCCUUCUGCGAUUUGCUCGCGUGUUUGCAGAAGCAGAUUGAGAGUGAAAAAGGCGUGUUAUGAGAUUCACGGCGAAGAUUGAAUGUUCGAGAGGUGUGAAAAUCAUGAAGAUGUGAGAAGAGUGAAUUGUUAUGAGAUAUUGCCAAGGUGAGAGAGUGAUGAGUGAGGAAGAUGAUUGUUCUGUGAAGGAAAGUGAGAGUGUUGUAUAACUAUUUAUUUGAGAUAGUGAGAAAUGGUGAAUGAUCUGAGAUUUUCUGUUUUGAGAGAAAAAAAGUUCCAGCUGAAAUUAGGAGGUGAACUUUGUUUAUAUAGGUGAUGAUGAUUCAGUCUUUAAGCAAUGCAUGACAUGACUUUAUGGUGGGCAAGGCAAGGCUUAUGGCAUCGAAAUGGUCAAAUUGAAAAAAAUGGAGUUUUCUCGAUCAUGAAGCAACAUCGGAUCAAGUAUGGAUGUAUAUGUAGUCAAAAUUAAGUUUAGGAGGAAGAAAUGUAAAAGUUGACUUUGAUCAACUAUUUGACCAAAAGGUCAACAGUUGACCAAAAAGUCAACUUUUGAAAAAUGUAUAUUUCUUUUAUUUCCUUAUAACGGGACAAUGUAUUCAUUGAUGAAUGAAUGAAAACUCAAAUGUUUGGAUGAAAUAAAACAUGAUUGUAUGCGAA
Molecule: long non-coding RNA, 1255 nt
Organism: Lathyrus oleraceus (garden pea)
Lineage: Eukaryota; Viridiplantae; Streptophyta; Magnoliopsida; Fabales; Fabaceae
Exons: 2
Source: RefSeq, a predicted model, not a curated record